AAUAAAUUUAGAAUGCUGAAUUUUCAUUAUUAAUUUAUUGCAGACAGAUACUGCCUCCGUUCUUGAAGAGGCUUCUCUUUGUAUCAAACUUCUUCAACAACAGAUUCAGAAAUCGUUUCAGAUGCUAGAUAGCUCGUGCCUCUCACAGGAAAUUGAUGAUGGACUUUUAGACCUACAAAGUAGAGGGCUUUGCCUGUUUCCCAUAUCAAUUAUGAAGAAAUUGUCCCAGGAAUAUUGUUUUGAUACUUCGAAUGCUUUGUUCAGUUUCUUGACUUUGACAUAAGAGUAUACUAAUUCUUAUGCAAUCCAUUUUGAUGAAGAAUGAAGAAAUAGUUAUGUAUUCCCCUCAGAUACGAGACCAACUCAUUUCAGAACUCUUUUUGAACCGAGCAAUUGACUUUUUAGAGAUCGUAUACUGAAUUGAAAUGUACUUUAUCGCUUGAGCUACUAUUCAGAGAUAUAUAUAUUUUUAAGAUGUUCAUUAGGUAACUACAAGUUGGAAUGUUCAUAGUUCGGUUUAGUUUGGUUUAAAGUUUUAUCCAAACUAAACCUGUAAUAGCGG
Jatropha curcas is the source of this 562-nucleotide non-coding RNA. Lineage: Eukaryota; Viridiplantae; Streptophyta; Magnoliopsida; Malpighiales; Euphorbiaceae. The record is from RefSeq and is a predicted model, not a curated record.